GACGAACGCUGGCGGCGUGCUUAACACAUGCAAGUCGAACGGUGAAGCUCCAGCUUGCUGGAGUGGAUCAGUGGCGAACGGGUGAGUAACACGUGAGCAACCUGCCCCUGACUCUGGAAUAAGCGCUGGAAACGGCGUCUAAUACUGGAUACGAGAAGGGUCCGCAUGGGCACUUUCUGGAAAGUUUUUCGGUUGGGGAUGGGCUCGCGGCCUAUCAGCUUGUUGGUGAGGUAAUGGCUCACCAAGGCGACGACGGGUAGCCGGCCUGAGAGGGCGACCGGCCACACUGGGACUGAGACACGGCCCAGACUCCUACGGGAGGCAGCAGUGGGGAAUAUUGCACAAUGGGCGAAAGCCUGAUGCAGCGACGCCGCGUGAGGGGUGACGGCCUUCGGGUUGUAAACCUCUUUCAGCAGGGAAGAAGCGAAAGUGACGGUACCUGCAGAAGAAGCACCGGCUAACUACGUG
RNAcentral lists this ribosomal RNA (468 nucleotides) under uncultured bacterium. Its description in RNAcentral is "partial 16S ribosomal RNA". It matches the Rfam family "Bacterial small subunit ribosomal RNA", at positions 28 to 507 of the family's 1533-position model. The record is from RNAcentral.